Molecule: long non-coding RNA, 748 nt
Filed under: Lactuca sativa (garden lettuce)
Lineage: Eukaryota; Viridiplantae; Streptophyta; Magnoliopsida; Asterales; Asteraceae
Description: long non-coding RNA (LSAT_LNC002368)
Source: RNAcentral
CAUCCUCAAGCAGGCGUCCCUGAUUGGCGCCGCCUUGCGGCUGAGCGCAUCGGCCACCACGUUGGCCUUCCCCGGGUGGUAAAGGAUCUCGCAAUCAUAAUCCUUCACCACAUCCAACCACCGACGCUGCCUCAUGUUCAGAUUUGGCUGAUCCAUGAGGUACCUCAAACUCUUGUGGUCCGUGUAGAUGGUACAUCGAACCCCGUAGAGGUAAUGUCGCCAAAUCUUGAGGGCAAAAACCACCGCCCCCAACUCCAAAUCAUGCGUCGGGUAGUUCGCCUCGUGAGGCUUGAGCUGCCUCGAAGCGUAGGCAAUAACAUGCCCCCUCUGCAUCAGUACCGCGCCCAACCCAGAAAUGGAUGCAUCACAAUAAACCACAAAAUCCUCCACGCCCUCUGGCAGGGCUAAUAUUGGCGCCUCACACAAUUUCUUUCUCAGCGUCUCAAAUGCAGCCUGCUGCUCAGGCCCCCACCGAAAGACCACGACUUUCUUCGUCAGCCGCGUCAGGGGCACGGCUAUCUUGGAGAAAUCCUGAAUAAAUCUCCGAUAGUAUCCUACCAAUCCCAGGAAACUUCGAAUCUCAGAUGGAGACUUUGGAACCUCCCAUCUCAUCACGGCCUCGACCUUGGCCGGAUCGACCAGAAUCCCGUUCUGGUUGACGAGGUGUCCAAGAAAUUGCACCUCGCGCAACCAAAACUCACACUUGGAGAACUUGGCAUACAAGCUCUCCCUCCUCAGGGUCUCUAAC